CGUGUGGUUCUAUUUUGUUGGUUAUGGGACCGCCGUAAUGAUUAAUAGGGACAGUCGGGGGCAUCAGUAUUCAAUUGUCAGAGGUGAAAUUCUUGGAUUUAUUGAAGACUAACUACUGCGAAAGCAUUUGCCAAGGAUGUUUUCAUUAAUCAGGAACGAAAGUUAGGGGAUCGAAGACGAUCAGAUACCGUCGUAGUCUUAACCAUAAACUAUGCCGACUAGGGAUCGGGCGAUGUUACUUUUUGACUCGCUCGGCACCUUACGAGAAAUCAAAGUUUGUGGGUUCCUGGGGGAGUAUGGUGGCAACGCUGAAACUUAAAGAAAUUGACGGAAGGGCACCACCAGGGGUGGAGCCUGCGGCUUAAUUUGACUCAACACGGGGAAACUCACCAGGUCCAAACACAAUGAGGAUUGACAGAUUGAGAGCUCUUUCUUGAUUUUGUGGGUGGUGGUGCAUGGCCGUUCUUAGUUGGUGGAGUGAUUUGUCUGCUUAAUUGCGAUAACGAACGAGACCUUAACCUGCUAAAUAGCCCGUGUUGCUUCUGCAGCACGCCGGCUUCUUAGAGGGACUAUCGGCUCAAGCCGAUGGAAGUUUGAGGCAAUGACAGGUCUGUGAUGCCCUUAGAUGUUCUGGGCCGCACGCGCGCGACACUGACAGGCCAGCGAGUCUCCCUUGUCCGAAAGGACGGGUAUCUGUAAACCCUGUCGUGC
RNAcentral lists this ribosomal RNA (711 nucleotides) under uncultured fungus. Its description in RNAcentral is "SSU rRNA". It matches the Rfam family "Eukaryotic small subunit ribosomal RNA", at positions 828 to 1570 of the family's 1831-position model. Lineage: Eukaryota; Fungi. The record is from RNAcentral.